RNAcentral lists this unclassified non-coding RNA (1281 nucleotides) under Hevea brasiliensis (rubber tree). The record is from RNAcentral. Lineage: Eukaryota; Viridiplantae; Streptophyta; Magnoliopsida; Malpighiales; Euphorbiaceae.
UUACUGAACAGCCCCAUUCCUCCAUCUCCGCGGCCUAAUCUCUCACAGGCACUGAGAAUCACAUUCUCAGAAUCAACCCAAGCAAUAUCAUUCACUCUCUGGUAAUCAAGAUUGAUUGGUGGAUGCUCUUCCAUCAUCCAAUCAUAGACACGCACCAUACUUCCAUGAGCCACACAGCACCCACCAUCCGGUCCUGCACGAAUUGCCGUGCCAUCCCCUGGUGCCCGGCCAGUGACAGACCGGGAAUACCGAAGUCUGUUUGCAUCAAAUGGACCCCAUUUGGCCGAUCUUACAUGGUCCAAGAGGCCGUAAAAUGACGCCUCUCGGUGGAGGAGUCUUUCCGGGACGUGGGGAGGGAUGUGGAGAUCGCCGGUGCGGAGAAGAUCGAGGAGGAUACCGAAACAAUCCGGGUUUCGAUCGAUGUAGAAUUCACUGUUGGGAUUGAGGUCAUUGAUGGGUUGUUUUAAAGCCCAAUUAUCGUCAAAAAAUGCCCCGAAAAAGGAGUUUUGCCCCGAAAAAGGAGUUUCUACAAAAGGAGUUUCUACCGGCAUUUGCCAAGGUCGUGGAGGUUGUCUCGAAGAUUCUGCCUCCGACGUUGAAUCGGACUCUGUCUUUGGCGAUCUUCAUGGUGGAAUUUUACGGAGAAUUUGAAGGGUUUUUGGAGCAGAGAGAACAAAGAAAGUGGGAUUAAGAAUCAGAGAUGAUGACCGAAGAAGGUAAAAAAAGAAAGAAAUGGAAUUGGGAGACUGAGUAGGUAGAAUUUCAAAAGAAGAACAGAAUCAGAAGAAAUUCCUAGAAAUUUGGAGGGAAUUGAGGGAUUGUGAUUUGCUUAGAUAUACUUUGAUUGGAAACAAAAUCCAAAAAUAGGAAAAUCUAACCACUAAGAAACAUCACAAGAGAAAUUUAUGAGAUAAAACAACAGAAACCUCCAAAGAGGCAAAGGAGAAGGCCUGAUUCAGGAGCAACUCAGAGGCUAACAAGUAACAACAUGGUGUUCAGUUGCUAGAGACAGACAAAAACAAAGCUUAGAAACAGGGGAUAUGAGAUUGAUCAAAGUAAAAAGGCAAAAAUUUUAUCAAAUUGUGGAACAUUGAGAUCUGGGUUUUCAAGAUCGAAGGUUUUUAGAGAUGGGUUUUGAAUUUUCUAGGAUUNNNNNNNNUUUAGCUAAUCGAACUCAAAAACAGUUAACACUCGUUUUGAUAAAUUUCUGUUUCUAUAACUUCUCCAUGUCUCCCAUUUUCCACGUCUGUCCCAUUAUUGCCCCCCUGAGGCUUAAACCAC